AUGGAUCGCCUUUCAGAGGAAAAGCAAGGCGGAUCCAUGAGCAGCGGCAAGAAGAAGGGGAAAGGGAAGCAGCACUCGGCAAGAAAGAACUUCACUGACUCGGACGAUGAGGAUGCGCCUGCACCACCGAGGAGGAAGUUUGACAUCAGGAAAAUGAGGUGUCAUAAAUGUGGCCUCCUCGGUCACUUCAAGACUGACUGCGAAGAAGCACCGAAGCAGCAGGCACUCAUAGCUGAGGAUGGAGAUGAUGGGGAUAUGAUGCUGAUGUGCGAGCUGGUGGACAAGGAGGAUUCAGAUGAUCAUGGUCAGCUAGACACGGGUCCGGUGAGCACAUUCGCGCCAGGGAACCCAGGCGAAGUCGUGGCACCAGAGGUCCAUGACGCAAGUGAUGAUGAAGUGGUCACACUAAAAGCAGGCGAAGACAUGGCGCCAGAAGUCCAUGACAAAAUGCAUGAUGGUGUCUUGGCGCUAGAAAUAGGGGAAGAUGUGGCGCUAGAUGACCACGACAUGCGGCGAGCUGCACCCGGGCCACACAAGUAUGUCGCAUACAUUAUUGUGUCAAGCAGUGUAGCAGCGGGUUGCGAAGACGCCGCGAGCCGCAGCACAUCCGAUGUGGCGAGUGGGGCCGUCAGUGGCGCUCUGUGCGAGACAGCAAGCGGCAAGCCAGCCAUCUCGUAUGAGAAGGCAGCCAGCACAAGGGGUUGCACGGAGGCUGCAGCAAGCUUUCCACAAGGAAGCCUAAUAUCACGUGGAGGCCUAGUGCAUGGUCUAGAACGUGAGUAUAUUCGAGAAUUUUAUGUGCUUAGGGUGAUAAUUUCUUAG
Molecule: ribosomal RNA, 822 nt
Filed under: Triticum aestivum (bread wheat)
Lineage: Eukaryota; Viridiplantae; Streptophyta; Magnoliopsida; Poales; Poaceae
Description: partial small subunit ribosomal RNA
Source: RNAcentral